RNAcentral lists this unclassified non-coding RNA (543 nucleotides) under Leishmania donovani. RNAcentral describes it as "gene:unknown". Lineage: Eukaryota; Euglenozoa; Kinetoplastea; Trypanosomatida; Trypanosomatidae. The record is from RNAcentral.
AGCAUGCCGUUGGCAGCACCAGCAGCUCUAUCUACAACACUAGUCGCACUACGCCACUCUUCUCAGAAGACGUAGCACGGGGGGUAAGCUAUACGUGGAAGGCCUCUCACCCUUCCUUCGCUCCCUGCCUCUCUUCAGCAUCAGUCGCACCAGAAAGCUUCACAUUCCUGGCACCGCUGGAAAUAUUGAACACAGACACCCAUACAAAAAACGAAGGAGGAGGGAGGUGUUUGCUAUCCUAGAGUUUUCUCAGCGCAGCGCACACCGACAUAACGCGACAGUGCAGCCAGAGCAACACAAAGAAAAGAGGAGAGGAAUAAACGUGCAAGCACACACAGCGUGGUGAAGUGCGAUCCCCGCUUUUUCUUCGCUAAGGAGAACCAUCAUACGGCAGUAGUCGCUGUGGCUGUUGCCACGCUCCUUAUCCGCGCCCUUUCGGGCUCACCUCACCCUAAACCCUUUUUUUCCUCUUACCGCCCCACUUGUUGCGCUUGUCGGUUCACAUCUCGCUCCGUCACCCAUCACCACGAGGAAAACGCCAAG